Heterocephalus glaber (naked mole-rat) is the source of this 104-nucleotide small nucleolar RNA. Its record names the gene SNORA70. It matches the Rfam family "Small nucleolar RNA SNORA70". Rfam says of the family: snoRNA U70 seems to be exclusive to mammals and is a member of the H/ACA class of snoRNA which contain H (ANANNA) and ACA box motifs. H/ACA box snoRNAs are involved in the conversion of uridines to pseudouridines (5-ribosyluracil) a constituent of structural RNAs (transfer, ribosomal, small nuclear, and small nucleolar). The record is from Ensembl. NCBI's taxonomy places the organism in Eukaryota, Metazoa, Chordata, Mammalia, Rodentia, Bathyergidae.
AUGCUUAACCUCAUCUUUUAAAGGCAAGUGUUGCAGCAGAAUUAUUGGUGAUGUAUGCAGCCUGUUCCUUAUAUGAGCUUCCCUAAGGGUCCUUGAAGACACUC